UACUCCUACGGGAGGCAGCAGUGGGGAAUUUGCGCAAUGGGGGGAAGCGUGAUGCAGCCAUGCCGGGUGUGGAAGAAGGCGUUGGGGUUUAAACACAUCAGUAGGGAGGAAGGGUUAAUUUAAUAGCGUCACUUAGACGUAAUCAGAUCACUGGC
Molecule: ribosomal RNA, 155 nt
Filed under: uncultured bacterium
Lineage: Bacteria
Description: partial 16S ribosomal RNA
Source: RNAcentral